CCGGACCGGCGCACGGGUGAGUAACACGUAUGCAACCUGCCCCUAUCAGAGGGGGAUAACCCGGCGAAAGUCGGACUAAUACCGCAUGAAGCAGGGGCCCCGCAUGGGGAUAUUUGCUAAAGAUUCAUCGCUGAUAGAUAGGCAUGCGUUCCAUUAGGCAGUUGGCGGGGUAACGGCCCACCAAACCGACGAUGGAUAGGGGUUCUGAGAGGAAGGUCCCCCACAUUGGUACUGAGACACGGACCAAACUCCUACGGAAGGCAGCAG
This 267-nucleotide ribosomal RNA is filed under the name uncultured bacterium. RNAcentral's name for it is "partial 16S ribosomal RNA". It matches the Rfam family "Bacterial small subunit ribosomal RNA", at positions 90 to 354 of the family's 1533-position model. The record is from RNAcentral.